UGUCUAGUAUAAGCAUCUAUACGGUGAACUGCGAAUGGCUCAUUAAAUCAGUUAUCGUUUAUUUGAUAGUACCUUACUACUUGGAUAACCGUGGUAAUUCUAGAGCUAAUACAUGCUAAAAACCUCGACUUCGGAAGGGGUGUAUUUAUUAGAUAAAAAACCAAUGCCCUUCGGGGCUCCCUGGUGAUUCAUAAUAACUUAACGAAUCGCAUGGCCUUGUGCCGGCGAUGGUUCAUUCAAAUUUCUGCCCUAUCAACUUUCGAUGGUAGGAUAGUGGCCUACCAUGGUUUCAACGGGUAACGGGGAAUUAGGGUUCUAUUCCGGAGAGGGAGCCUGAGAAACGGCUGCCACAUCCAAGGAAGGCAGCAGGCGCGCAAAUUACCCAAUCCCGACACGGGGAGGUAGUGACAAUAAAUACUGAUACAGGGCUCUUUUGGGUCUUGUAAUUGGAAUGAGUACAAUUUAAAUCCCUUAACGAGGAACAAUUGGAGGGCAAGUCUGGUGCCAGCAGCCGCGGUAAUUCCAGCUCCAAUAGCGUAUAUUAAAGUUGUUGCAGUUAAAAAGCUCGUAGUUGAACCUUGAGCCUGGCUGGCCGGUCCGCCUCACCGCGUGCACUGGUCCGGCCGGGUUUUUCCUUCUGGGGAGCCGCAUGCCCUUCACUGGGUGUGUCGGGGAACCAGGACUUUUACUUUGAAAAAAUUAGAGUGUUCAAAGCAGGCCUAUGCUCGAAUACAUUAGCAUGGAAUAAUAGAAUAGGACGUGUGGUUCUAUUUUGUUGGUUUCUAGGACCGCCGUAAUGAUUAAUAGGGAUAGUCGGGGGCAUCAGUAUUCAAUUGUCAGAGGUGAAAUUCUUGGAUUUAUUGAAGACUAACUACUGCGAAAGCAUUUGCCAAGGAUGUUUUCAUUAAUCAGUGAACGAAAGUUAGGGGAUCGAAGACGAUCAGAUACCGUCGUAGUCUUAACCAUUAACUAUGCCCGACUAGGGAUCGGGCGAUGUUA
RNAcentral lists this ribosomal RNA (999 nucleotides) under Helotiales sp. RNAcentral's name for it is "SSU rRNA". It matches the Rfam family "Eukaryotic small subunit ribosomal RNA", at positions 56 to 1065 of the family's 1831-position model. Lineage: Eukaryota; Fungi; Ascomycota; Leotiomycetes; Helotiales. The record is from RNAcentral.